Molecule: ribosomal RNA, 252 nt
Filed under: uncultured bacterium
Lineage: Bacteria
Description: partial 16S ribosomal RNA
Rfam family: Bacterial small subunit ribosomal RNA
Source: RNAcentral
UACGUAGGGGGCGAGCGUUAUCCGGAAUUAUUGGGCGUAAAGGGUGCGUAGGUGGUCUGAUAAGCGUGGGGUGAAAGGCAAUAGCUUAACUAUUGUAAGCCUUGCGAACUGUCAGACUUGAGUGCAGGAGAGGAAAGUGGAAUUCCUAGUGUAGCGGUGAAAUGCGUAGAUAUUAGGAGGAACACCAGUGGCGAAGGCGACUUUCUGGACUGUAACUGACACUGAGGCACGAAAGCGUGGGGAGCAAACAGG